GACGAACGCUGGCGGCGUGCUUAACACAUGCAAGUCGAGCGGUAAGGCCUUUCGGGGUACACGAGCGGCGAAAAGGUGAGUAACACGUGGGGGAUCUACCCUGCAGUUCACGAUAAGCCUGGGAGACGGUGACUAAUACCAGAGAUGACCUCCUAUCGCAUGUUGGGUGUAGUAAAGAUUUAUUGGUGCAGGAUGGGUCCGGGGGCUAUCACCUUGUGGGGGGGGUAAUGGGCCACCAAGGGGACGACGGGGGGCCGACCUGAGAGGGUGACCGGCCACAGUGGGCCAGAGAAACGACCCAGACUGCUACGGGAGGCAGCAGUGGAGAAUAUACCACACUGGGCCGAAGCCUGGAGCAGCGUCGCCGCGUCGUGGAUGACGGCCUUCGGGGUGUAAACCUCUUUCAGCAGGGACGUAGCGAAAGUGACGGUACCUUCAGAAGAAGCGCCGGCUAACUACGUG
This 462-nucleotide ribosomal RNA is filed under the name uncultured bacterium. RNAcentral describes it as "partial 16S ribosomal RNA". It matches the Rfam family "Bacterial small subunit ribosomal RNA", at positions 28 to 507 of the family's 1533-position model. The record is from RNAcentral.